Molecule: microRNA, 23 nt
Filed under: Chiloscyllium plagiosum (whitespotted bambooshark)
Lineage: Eukaryota; Metazoa; Chordata; Chondrichthyes; Orectolobiformes; Hemiscylliidae
Description: microRNA PC-5p-38703_26
Source: RNAcentral
GGUGCAGUGCUGCAUCUCUGGUU